Non-coding RNA from Castor canadensis (American beaver), 290 nucleotides. The record is from RefSeq and is a predicted model, not a curated record. NCBI's taxonomy places the organism in Eukaryota, Metazoa, Chordata, Mammalia, Rodentia, Castoridae.
CUAUGUGUCCUCUCCCAUUCCUCUUUCCUCCUUUCUCCCUCUCUUCCUUCACCCUCUCCUCCCACUCCCACGAUUUCUGCUUCUUAGCUAACACCUACUCCUCUCUGACAGGGUGCCGGCCAUUCCUCCGAAUUUACCAGGCCAUGCAACCUGUUUACACGUCUGGUAUCUACAACAUCCCGGGAGACAGCCAGACCAGCAUCUGCAUCACCAUUGAGCCAGGACUGCUCCUGAAGGGAGACAUCUUGCUGAAGUGCUACCACAAGAAGUUCCGGAGCCCAGCCCGAGAC